AAUGAAGUGCCUGAUAAAAAGGAUUACUGUGAUAGAGUAAAUCAUGUAACUAUUUACCUUCAUUA
RNAcentral lists this transfer RNA (65 nucleotides) under Anabrus simplex (Mormon cricket). Its description in RNAcentral is "tRNA-Ile". The record is from RNAcentral. Lineage: Eukaryota; Metazoa; Arthropoda; Insecta; Orthoptera; Tettigoniidae. RNAcentral also lists the same sequence under 1 other name.